Long non-coding RNA from Aethalodelphis obliquidens (Pacific white-sided dolphin), 3344 nucleotides. RefSeq lists it as uncharacterized. The transcript has 2 exons. Lineage: Eukaryota; Metazoa; Chordata; Mammalia; Artiodactyla; Delphinidae. The record is from RefSeq and is a predicted model, not a curated record.
CUGCCAGGGAAGUCCAAAUUUUUUUCUUAUCUUAUUGCAAAUGCUAGGAUUUCCGCUAGCAGGAUGAGGAGUUGAUAUCCUUAUCUUGUACCAAUCUUAGGGGAAAAGUGUGUUCAGUCUUUUACAAGUAUGAUAUUACUUGCAAAAGUAAUGAAGUAUGAUAUUAGCUUAUGUUUGUCAUGGAUGUCCUUUACCAGAAGGAAGAAGCUCCUUCCUAUCUCUAAUUUGCUGAGAAUUUAUAUUAUGACUGAAUUUUGUCAAAUGUUUUGUUCUGCAUCUACUGGGAUGAUCACAGUUUUCCUUUUGUAAUGUAUAAAUAUGGUGACUCAUACUGAUUGAUUUUCUAAUGUUCAACCAACUCUGCAUUCUUAUGAUAAACCUCACUUGGUUAUAAUGUACUAUCCUUUUUACAUAGUUAAUUUGCAAAUAUUUUUAAAGGAUUUUUCCAUCUAUGAUCAUAAGGGAUACUAGAUUAGUUUUCUUUUUGUAAUAACUUCGAUUUUGGUAUUGGGGCCAUUCCAGUUUCAUAAAAUUAGUUGGGAAAUAUGCCUUCUUCAUUUAAUUUCUAAAAGAAUUUGACUAAGUAUCAUUAUUUCUUUGAGUAUUAUUUUUUUCUUAAAGUAUGGUAGAAUUCACCAGUGAAGCCAGCUGGGCCUGGAGUUUUUUUCCUAGGAAGUUUUUAAAUUACAAAUUUAUUUCUAACUAAACAUUCCCCUGGACAAGAUGAUCACUAAGAAGUACCAAGCUUGAAUAUCCCAAAAUACUAUAUAAGGAUGAAGUGCAUAAACUACUGUUUAAUUUUAAAAUUUACACAUUUUGAUAAGCAAGGUGGUUUAAAAUAUUCACGAAGGCCACAGAUUACCCACAAUUAUGAAAAAUACCAUAACAUGUUCUAUUGUGUCCUAAAUUUAAUAUUUGCGAGUUUGUGAGUUAGAUGACAUGUGCACAUGCUGGAAAGGUUUCUUUCCCUAAUGUGUCUGGUGCCUAUAAAACUGGUCUCAAACAUCUGGAAAGAUUGGGUUUACAAAAUAAAGAUGGAAUAAAAAGGAGUCCACAAUUAAAUAACAUGUUCAGCAAUUGGGUAAUCAGUUCACAAACUUGAAUUUCCCUGAUGUAUUGUUGAACAAACUGCCUGAAGCAGAUUUUCACAUCUACUUUCUGAAUGUUUUCCAUAACUGAGAAACUCAUAUGGUCUCUUUUUCUUUUUCCUGCCUCCUGGGGAUAGAAACUUGGCAACUGUGCUUGGGGUAUUUUAAUCAGGGCCUUCCUGGUAAGGACUAGAACCGUUUCUGCUCCUUAGAGAUACACGGCUCACCGGCCUCACUGCUCGCCGUGCCCUAAUUACAGCGGCUACCGCAGUAGCUUCCAGGUAAGGGGAAACAUGAUUAAGGAAUAAAACUUCACUAAUCCACAAUAAAGAACACAGAAUGUAGGAGAGGAGGAGAAUAAGAGACGACAAGGUGCAUCAGGAGAAAGCACCACCUAAAGUUUUAAGUCAGUUUUAUUACUCUCAGUAUUUAUCACAAAUAAAGCCAAUAUAAAUACAAAACACGAGUUUUGGAGAAUGGAUCUAAGUACUCAGUGAGAACCCAUAAGCACUUAAACUAUUUGCAGACAUGAGAGUGCAAAAAUAAGAUUCCUCUAAGUGUUUAAAUAACACCCUUCCUUAAAGUUGUCAUUUCGAAGAUUUUCAAGCUGUGGUUGGUGGAUCCCUGGGAGAUACAGUACCCCUGCAGGGGGUCCACAAGCUCCAAACUAUUUUCAAGCUAAGGCUACAACGCUACUUGCAUUUUCACUGUGUCAACAUUUGCACUGAUGAUUUCAAUGCAAAGGUGGGUAAAAGCCUUGGCUCCUCAGCACCAGUCAGGGUGGUACCAGCAAACCGUCCAGCAGCCGCUGCACUCUUCACCGCCAUGCACAAGCAGGUAAAAAAAUCCCAGCUGCACUUAAGGAUUUCCUUGAUCAAGGAGCGAAAGCAAUUUCUUUUAUUUAAAUCUUGACCUUGGAGUGCAAGUAGGUUAAAUGCUCUGUGUGAUGAAAGUCAAGUGUGGCUGAAGUACUUCGGCUGUCGCCGAGGCUCAGGAAUCAUCUCAAGGAAAAGCGCUGUGUGACUGUCCGAGUUGCGAGCAGAACUAGCUGCCUUUUUCUCAAUUUUUUACCCAAAAGAACCACUAUGAACUAUGGUUAUUCAGACUUGGGUACUGACAGCACAUAAAUGAAGUGAACCUGUCACUUCAAGGGAAAGAUUGACAGUGCUUGUAGCCAACGAUAAAAUUUGAACUUUAAAGCAAAAAUUAGAAUUGUAGAGAAUUUGUCUGCCACUAUGACAAGCUUCCCAACACUCAGUUUUCUAAAGAGAUCACUGGUAAUAUUAAAUUAACAAAGGUGUGUGUGUGUGCGUGCGUGUGUGUGUGUGUGUGUGUGUGUGUGUGUGUAAUAAGGUGUGUAGACAUUUGGAAGACCCGCAUAAUUCAGUGAGACAAUAUUUUCCAAAUGACCAAUGCAUGAUAUUGCAAAGUAAUAUGCGGGAAAGAUCCAAUAGAUUUUAACGUAAGAGAGUGUUAAAAACCAGACAGCAGGCCCAAAAUGGAGUCGUUUGUGCUAAGCCCAAACAGAGACUUAAUUUAAUUAGUUUCAGCUCACCCAGAAGAGGAAUCUUAAACCAGCCAAUCAGUAAUCUGCUAACGAGCACUAGCCAGGUCAUUUGCCUGAUAGACGCCAGGCAUGCCCUAAAGAAACGUGACGUUGCCACAACCAAUCCCCCUUUAGUCUAGUUGAACUUUCUUGUUCUUAUUCCCUUCUGGCUGGAAAAGUUUUUCAUUUUGUACAGUUCCCUGGAGCUUCUUUCUGUCUGCUAGAAUAGAUGCUGCCCAAUUCGUGAAUCAUUCAAGAAAGCCAAUAAGAUCUUUAAAAUUUACUCAUUUGAAUUUUGUUUUUUAACAAGAACACGGAAAGUUCAUUGACAGGGUUUCAGAUUCCACAUUGCAACUAACUUUUAAGAAACCACCACUUGUUGGUUUUUGGAGUAGUAUCAAAGCAGAGUAUCCACAACUAUCUAAAAGGCUAAUAUACAAUUCCUUCCUUUUCUGACCUCACAUGUGAAAGGCUGCAUAUUCUUUACACACUUCCACUCAAACAGUGUAUGGAAACAGACCGAAUGCAGAACAAGAUGUGAAAAUCCAGUUGUCUUCUCUCAAGCCAGACAUCAAAGAGAUUUGCAAAAAUGUAAAACAGUACCAUACUCCUCACUGACUUUUACUGUUUGUUUCAUUAGAAACAUGUCAUAUGUUAAUAUAUAAUGGGCUUAUUUUUAUUUUAAAAAUAAUAAAAUUAUUUUUAAAUUU